AAGAUUAAAAAGAAUGGAUAGAAACUUUUUUGUUUCUUUUUUUGAAUGAAUGGAGGUUAAGUACAUAUCCUUGACUUUAAUCUAUAAUAUAUAACUUGAGAGGUUAUAUAGGCCUUGGAAAACAAACCUUUCACUAUAUUUCUUUGUUGCACUAGUCAAGAAUUCUAAGUUUAACUGAAGAAUAAUUUAAUUGUGAUAGGAGGA
RNAcentral lists this long non-coding RNA (204 nucleotides) under Carica papaya (papaya). RNAcentral describes it as "long non-coding RNA (CPAP_LNC002928)". The record is from RNAcentral. Lineage: Eukaryota; Viridiplantae; Streptophyta; Magnoliopsida; Brassicales; Caricaceae.